Daktulosphaira vitifoliae (grape phylloxera) is the source of this 4912-nucleotide long non-coding RNA. RefSeq lists it as uncharacterized. NCBI's taxonomy places the organism in Eukaryota, Metazoa, Arthropoda, Insecta, Hemiptera, Phylloxeridae. The transcript is spliced from 6 exons. The record is from RefSeq and is a predicted model, not a curated record.
UAGAUUACUAGUUUAUCAAAAUCUGUAUAAAUAUAAUAUAAUUUAAUUUAUAUUAUGUCUAUCUGAGUAAAGAGUAGUUGUUCUAUAAGAAGAAAAAUAAAUAAUAGUCUUGAUAGUAUUAAUUUAUGCCAAGUCAAAUCGAGUUAUAAUUCCACCAAUUAUCAUGAUUUAACUCAGCCUGCUCCUAGCUCUGGUGUAUCAACAAAUUUAAUGGUUUCUUAGUUACUACACCCAUUUCAUUUGAUAAAACUGACAUUUUAAAAUCUAAAGAACAUAUUAAUACUAUCCAAAAACUUGAAAAUUCAUUUAAUGAUGAACUAGCUCAUUGAGCAGUUCAUUAUAACAUACCUUUAAAUGCUGUUAAUGGUUUACUUUUGGUGCUAAAAAGUCAUAAAUGCUUUUCCUCAUUGUCCAAAGAUAGUAUAACCUUGUUAGGGACAUCUGGUAAUCCAUAUUUGAAUAAGAAUUGUAAAGCCUGGGAUAUAUCACCAUUUAUUUUGCCAAAGGUAUAAAAUUAAAUUAUGAUGAUAGUUUAGUUAAUAACAGUAUUUUAAAAUUAGUUGUAGAUAUUGAUGGUUUACCCUUGGCACAUUUUAGCAAAAGUCAAUUCUGGCCCAUAUUAGCUUAUAUUAGAAAUCAUAAUGUAAAAAAAGUGUUUCCUAUUGGCUUGUAUCAUGGAAAUACUAAGCCUAAAGUAAGUGAUUAUUUUUUGAUAGAUUUUGAUAAUGAAGCUGUGCAUUUAACCAAUAAUGGAUUAAACAUCAAUAAUAAACAUUUUAUUAUUAAAUUUGAUAUCUUUUGCUUAGAUGCACCUGCUAAAAGUUUUAUUUUAAAAAUUAAAAGCCAUAGUGGUUUUAAUUUGUGUACUCAUCUAAUUGAAGGUGAUUAUUUAAACAAUCGUGUGUGUUUUCCAUAUAGUACCACCAAAUCAACACUAAGAAAUAAUUAUGAAUAUCGAAAUGUAGUACACGAAGAAUUUCAUACAUCUUCUACAUCCAUUUUAGCUGAAAUCUCCAACAUUGAAAUAACUCGAUUCUUUAUAUUGGAUUAUAUGCAUCUUACUAAUUUAGGAGUAAUGUGUAAAUUGAUUUUAUUUUGGGUUUUGAAAGGCCCAUCAACUGUACGAUUACCAGCAAGAAAUAUUAAUGAAAUUCUUUCACGAUUGUUGCAUGUUAAAAAAUAAGUACCUGUAGAGUUUCCUAGAAAGCCUUGAGAAAUUUAAGGUAUUUUACAGUGGAAAGCUACUGAACUACGUUUUUUUUUAAUUUAUGCUGGACCUUUUGUCUUAAAAAAUAUAAUUUCAAUGGAUUGCUAUUUUAAUUUUGUCACUUAAUGUUGCCAUGAUAAUUUUGCUAAGUCCAAAUAAAAAAAAAACUACACAGAAUAUGCUCAAGAACUCUUGAACUAUUUUGUUAAAUCAUUUGAUAAAAUUUAUGGUAACUUCAAUGUGUCUCAUAAUGUUCAUGGACUUUUACAUUUGAUUGAUGAUUAUAACAAUUAAUGAAUACAGUUGUUAUCCAUUUGAAAAUUUUAUGAAAGAAUUUAAGUCAGUACUCAGAAAAUGUGAAAAACCAUUGCAGCAAUUUAUCCGUAGAUAUGAGGAGCAAUGCAAUAAUGUAAAGAAAAAUUUAGGUAGUCCUAUUCAGGUGAUAAAUUUUAUAAAAAAAAAUUAUUAAAUGUUUAAAUUUUGCGUGUCAAAAGGUUAGUAAUAAAUUAAUCUCUGUCAUGUCGGUAAAUAUUUUAUUGAUAUAAGUCCAGCUUACUCUGAACCUCUUUUGUGUACUCUACUGGAUAUUUAUAAAAUAAAUAAUAUUUCUGAAAAUUAUAUCGUAGUUGAGGAAAAUAUAAUAAAAUGUAAAAUGAUGGUAAUUACUGUAGCUGACAAAACAAUUGCUAUUCCAGUAAUUCAUACAAUCAUGUAAUGAUGUAUAAUGUACAACACAAUGGAUUUUUAUAUAUUGUGAAUAAAUUAUUUAAAUUAAUUUAUUAUAUUUAUUUUGUUUUUUCAGGUAGAAUAAUUUUUUAUUUACUACACAUUUAUUUAUAUUAAUAUAUAUAAUUGUGUAUUAUUUAUAUUAUGUAAAUUAAAGCAAUCAAAAAUAUUUUUCUAAGUAUAUAAUGAUUAUUUUAUACAUAAAAUAAUCAUUAUAUUAUAAGAUUUUAUAAUCGGAUGAUGAUUGAUAAUCAGUUAGUGUAUAUAAUUUAUCAUGUGUUAUAAAGUUCAUCUUAAAAAUUAUAGUUAGCUAAAUAAUGUGGCAACACUGUCGAAGCAGUUCCAAGUACUUGGCUCAACAAAGUUACAAAUGAAUGUCCUUGGCCUAAUAAAACAAUUAAUUCUACAAAAGCAAUACAAAAUCGUACACUACCUAAUAGUUCAGAUUUUUACUAUUUAAAGGCUAGACAAAUUGGUUCUGCUACUUAUGACUCUUAUGAAUAAGCAAAAAGCAAAGAAAAAAUAGCACAAGAAUCUUCAGAUUUAUCAGAAAUUGAAAAUAUGAAAGAAACGAGAAAAAACAGAGCUAGAAAAGAAUUUUCUCCUUUUCCUAAAAAGGCUCAAGAUAAACCAAAAAUAAAAUCUCACCUUCAACUUCCUAAAUCGUUUAAGAACAUGGUUGUUGCUGAAAAUUCAAGUAAUCAUAUAGAAUAUGAUCAUGUUUCUGAUGAUGACAGUAUAAAAGACCCAGAUUCUAAAUUUAGUUGUAACAUAAUAAAUUCUUAUUACUACCUGUUAUAUUAUAUUUAUUUAUUUUUAUUUAGACCUUAGUCCUUGGAAUCUAUAAAUUUUCCUAUAGAAACAGAGCUCGUUACAGACACGUUGAAUUAUAAUUCAGUAGAUCCUAAUAAAUAUACAUCAUCAAAGAAAAAUUUCCAACCAUCUAGACAGAAGAAAGUAAAAGUACCAUCUGAUAAUGAAGGGUCAUUUUCUGUGGCCAAUACAGAUUAUUCUCUUCUCAUGCUGAGCUCUAACAGAAGUGGUUGUUCUAAGGGAUUAUCUAUCGCUGAUUUUCAGAAACAUGUUGUUGCAGCUUUGACACAUAUUAAGUUUGAUGUUAAUUUAUUGACUUCUACCCAACAAAUUAUUAGUGCUAAUAUUGAAGCUAUUAUGGCACAUACAAAUUAUAGUAGAAAUGAUCUUCCAAUCAACCUAAAUUAUAAUGAUGUUGAUGUCAAUGACAUAUUUCCAAUCAAUACUCAGGAAGAUCUUGAAACAUUUGAAUUUAAGCUAAAGAUAAAUGAAAAUUACUUCAAAAGCAUGCUUGGAGUAAAAUAACUUAUUUUGCUUAACGUAUUAUGGAUACAUAAAUUAAUGCCUUUAAAAUGACAAGAUUUUAUAACAAAACUAGUAGUUCCAUUUUAUAUUAAUUGAUGUAUAAUAGUUAAUAUUAUUAUUACACAACGAAAUUAACAAACUGUUAUUUAUAAUAGUGUUAAAAAAAAUUUUCAUGAAUUUACUAAAGCAAUAUUUAGUUAUUGUAAAAUACAGGACAAUUCUGAUAUUUAAUGAACCAAAAAGCAGAUUUAUUCCAUAUUAUGAUAUUUAUUGGUUUCUUUUAUUUAUCAAUUAUUAUUAAUUAAAUAUUUAUUAAUUUAUAAUUCAUCAAGCAUCUUAUAAUGUAUAGCUUUUUUUAAAAAAUCCUAUCAUUAAUCAAAGUUUUGAGAGGGUACAAAAUUACCAUAACAAAUGUUAUCUUUUCAGUGUUUGAUAAUUUUCCAAAAAACCAGACUUUUAUAAACCUACUUCUUUAAAUAAAAUUAUAGCUAAUACAAUGUACUUUUAGAUGAAAAAAAACUACAAAAUCUUGAUUUCUAGGUGCUGCUGUCCUAUUGAGCAUUAAAACAAAAAAUGGUUUCAUGAAAAUAAAAAAAUUAUUGUUGCUCACAACUGCCAAAAUCUUGGAAAAUCAGUGAGCCGUAUUAUGACAAAAAUGUUUCAUGAUUCAGUAUUAGUUCAUUUCUCAACUUAUAAUUAUAGCGUAUAGAUGCUGAUAUUUUGAAAUGGUAAAUUCGUUUGACAUUGAUAUAACAAUACAUUAUAUUUGACUACUUAUGCUAGUGGACGUAUAUUCGGUAUUCACCCUAUGUCUGGCAAUUAGACAAAUAAUUGGAACCAGGCUUAACAUAUAAUUUUUUAAAAUAAAAUAUGUAUUUUGGUAAACAAAUAAAAUGAAGUCUAAAAAGGCAUUUAAAAGCGCGCGUACUCAUUUUUUAAAAAUACGGUCAUUAAUCGCUCUAUAUAAAACACCCCCAUAUUUAAAUUGAACCAUGUUUACCACGACUAAAAAUAUUUGAAGAAGAACAAAAGAAAAUUGAUGUCCUAGUAUUAACUCUAAAGUAAUUUCAGAGAUAAGAUGGGCAAGUCAGAAACGUGCAGUGGACUUGGUGUACAUAAACUUGCCAGAAAUUGUUAACUCAUUACAGCGAAUUGCUGAUAGAGAACUUCUCAAUACAAAAUUAAAUAUUAUUUCAGAAUAACAAGAAUUGCUUUUUCAAAUGGUGAAUUUUAAAUUUAGUUUUAUGGAAAAAUAUACUUGGAAAAUCAAAUAUUUUAUCAAAUUAGUUACAAAAUUCUAAAAUUGAUAUAAUAACUGCACAUGAUAUGGUUUCAACAUGUUUUUUUAGAUAUUUCAUCUUUCAGAAAUGAGGAACAUAUUUUAAAAAUAAAAUGUAGUGCAAAUGAAUCGUGUGAACAGUUUGGAGACAAAAAUGACUUUGAGCAAGAACGUAUCAAAUUUGGAUAUAUUGAGUAUUGAGAUCAUUAUAGAACAAAAAAUUAACUUUAAUAAUGUAAUAAAUACAUUUACUUUACUACUGGAAAAGCGCAGAAAAAUUAUGUAGAGUUCUAUGCUUUUACAAUAUUUAUUUUCUUUUUCUUUUAUUUUUGUAUAUUAUGAUAAAAAUAAAACUUAAUUCA